RNAcentral lists this ribosomal RNA (303 nucleotides) under Stasimopus sp. 36STAS01. Its description in RNAcentral is "partial large subunit ribosomal RNA". The record is from RNAcentral. Lineage: Eukaryota; Metazoa; Arthropoda; Arachnida; Araneae; Ctenizidae.
CUGUUAUCCCCACGGUAACUUGUUGUAAUCCUUUAAUUUAGGGUUUAAAGGGUAAGAAGAUUAUAAAAGAUUUGGUUUUCAACCGCCCCAGUUAAAAAUAAAUUUAAGUUCGAUGGGGUCUUGUCGUCUUCUCUUAAAUUUAGGCCUUUUUACUUAAAUGUAAGUUUUGAUAAGUCAUAGUAGUAAAGAAUUCAACUCGUUUAUCCUUUCAUGCUAGCCUUUAAUUAGAAGGCGAGUGAUUAUGCUACCUUAGCACAGAAUUUUGCGGCUAUUUAAGAGUCAUUGAGCAGGACAUACUAAUUG